Molecule: ribosomal RNA, 747 nt
Filed under: uncultured bacterium
Lineage: Bacteria
Description: bacterial SSU rRNA
Rfam family: Bacterial small subunit ribosomal RNA
Source: RNAcentral
GAUGAACGCUGGCGGCGUGCUUAACACAUGCAAGUCGAGCGAAGCGCUUUGGAAAGAUUCUUCGGAUGAUUUCCUUUGUGACUGAGCGGCGGACGGGUGAGUAACGCGUGGGUAACCUGCCUCAUACAGGGGGAUAACAGUUAGAAAUGACUGCUAAUACCGCAUAAGACCACGGUACCGCAUGGUACAGUGGUAAAAACUCCGGUGGUAUGAGAUGGACCCGCGUCUGAUUAGGUAGUUGGUGGGGUAACGGCCUACCAAGCCGACGAUCAGUAGCCGACCUGAGAGGGUGACCGGCCACAUUGGGACUGAGACACGGCCCAGACUCCUACGGGAGGCAGCAGUGGGGAAUAUUGCACAAUGGAGGAAACUCUGAUGCAGCGACGCCGCGUGAAGGAUGAAGUAUUUCGGUAUGUAAACUUCUAUCAGCAGGGAAGAAAAUGACGGUACCUGACUAAGAAGCCCCGGCUAACUACGUGCCAGCAGCCGCGGUAAUACGUAGGGGGCAAGCGUUAUCCGGAUUUACUGGGUGUAAAGGGAGCGUAGACGGCACGGCAAGCCAGAUGUGAAAGCCCGGGGCUCAACCCCGGGACUGCAUUUGGAACUGCUGAGCUAGAGUGUCGGAGAGGCAAGUGGAAUUCCUAGUGUAGCGGUGAAAUGCGUAGAUAUUAGGAGGAACACCAGUGGCGAAGGCGGCUUGCUGGACGAUGACUGACGUUGAGGCUCGAAAGCGUGGGGAGCAAACAG